RNAcentral lists this ribosomal RNA (426 nucleotides) under uncultured bacterium. RNAcentral describes it as "partial 16S ribosomal RNA". It matches the Rfam family "Bacterial small subunit ribosomal RNA", at positions 355 to 774 of the family's 1533-position model. The record is from RNAcentral.
UGGGGAAUAUUGGACAAUGGGCGAAAGCCUGAUCCAGCCAUGCCGCGUGUGUGAAGAAGGUCUUCGGAUUGUAAAGCACUUUAAGUUGGGAGGAAGGGCAGUAAAUUAUACUUUGCUGUUUUGACGUUACCGACAGAAUAAGCACCGGCUAACUCUGUGCCAGCAGCCGCGGAAAUACAGAGGGUGCAAGCGUUAAUCGGAAUUACUGGGCGUAAAGCGCGCGUAGGUGGUUCGUUAAGUUGGAUGUGAAAUCCCCGGGCUCAACCUGGGAACUGCAUUCAAAACUGACGAGCUAGAGUAUGGUAGAGGGUGGUGGAAUUUCCUGUGUAGCGGUGAAAUGCGUAGAUAUAGGAAGGAACACCAGUGGCGAAGGCGACCACCUGGACUGAUACUGACACUGAGGUGCGAAAGCGUGGGGAGCAAACA